AACUUUCCCCCUGCACAAUCGUUUAAAUCUUUUGGCUUUUACUCAAGAUUUCCGUGUGUCGGAUACGGGAGAAGUUCUCACUAAUUUUUGGAGUGUGGUGCUUCCACCACGU
Molecule: small nuclear RNA, 112 nt
Filed under: Trachipleistophora hominis
Lineage: Eukaryota; Fungi; Microsporidia; Pleistophoridae
Description: U5 spliceosomal RNA
Rfam family: U5 spliceosomal RNA
About the family: U5 RNA is a component of both types of known spliceosome.
Source: Rfam by way of RNAcentral